UGAGCAGGUAGCAAUUACAGUGCUUCAUUUUGUGGGAGUACUGCCAUUAAUCCUGCUGAAAGAAAAGCCAUGUUGAUGUUUCUGAUUUUUGCAUUUAUUGGAGUAAAAAUCAUGACACUUGCAUGGGGACAGUU
This is a small nucleolar RNA of Rattus norvegicus (Norway rat), 134 nucleotides long. Ensembl annotates it as small nucleolar RNA, H/ACA box 69. Its record names the gene Snora69. The record is from Ensembl. NCBI's taxonomy places the organism in Eukaryota, Metazoa, Chordata, Mammalia, Rodentia, Muridae.